This 230-nucleotide ribosomal RNA is filed under the name uncultured bacterium. RNAcentral describes it as "partial 16S ribosomal RNA". It matches the Rfam family "Bacterial small subunit ribosomal RNA", at positions 333 to 580 of the family's 1533-position model. The record is from RNAcentral.
AGCUACCUACGGGGCGCAGCAGUGGGGAAUAUUGGACAAUGGGGGGAACCCUGAUCCAGCGACGCCGCGUGAGCGAAGAAGUAUUUCGGUAUGUAAAGCUCUAUCAGCAGGGAAGAAAAUGACGGUACCUGACUAAGAAGCCCCGGCUAACUACGUGCCAGCAGCCGCGGUAAUACGUAGGGGGCAAGCGUUAUCCGGAUUUACUGGGUGUAAAGGGAGCGUAGACGGUG